AACUGAAGAGUUUGAUCAUGGCUCAGAUUGAACGCUGGCGGCAGGCUUAACACAUGCAAGUCGAGCGGAAACGAUGUAGCUUGCUACAGGCGUCGAGCGGCGGACGGGUGAGUAACGCGUAGGAAUCUGCCUAGUAGAGGGGGACAACAUGUGGAAACGCAUGCUAAUACCGCAUACGCCCUGAGGGGGAAAGGAGGGGAUCACUUGUGACCUUCCGCUAUUAGAUGAGCCUGCGUGAGAUUAGCUAGUUGGUAGGGUAAAGGCCUACCAAGGCGACGAUCUCUAACUGGUCUGAGAGGAUGACCAGUCACACUGGGACUGAGACACGGCCCAGACUCCUACGGGAGGCAGCAGUGGGGAAUAUUGGACAAUGGGCGCAAGCCUGAUCCAGCCAUGCCGCGUGUGUGAAGAAGGCCUUAGGGUUGUAAAGC
This 431-nucleotide ribosomal RNA is filed under the name Marinomonas ushuaiensis DSM 15871. Its description in RNAcentral is "bacterial SSU rRNA". It matches the Rfam family "Bacterial small subunit ribosomal RNA", at positions 1 to 431 of the family's 1533-position model. Lineage: Bacteria; Pseudomonadati; Pseudomonadota; Gammaproteobacteria; Oceanospirillales; Oceanospirillaceae. The record is from RNAcentral.